This 444-nucleotide ribosomal RNA is filed under the name uncultured bacterium. Its description in RNAcentral is "SSU rRNA". It matches the Rfam family "Bacterial small subunit ribosomal RNA", at positions 26 to 518 of the family's 1533-position model. The record is from RNAcentral.
AGGAUGAACGCUGGCGGCGUGGAUAAGGCAUGCAAGUCAAGGGGUCCGCAAGGACACCGGCAGACGAGGUAGUAAUACGUAGGUACGCACCCUGAAGUCGGGCAUAACUAGUCGAAAGAUUAGCUAAUUCCCGAUGGUCUCGUAAGAGUAAAGAAUUUCGCUUCAGGAGCGGCCUGCGCAAUAUCAGCUAGUUGGUGAGGUAAUGGCUCACCAAGGCUAUGACGUUUAGGGGACCUGAGAGGGUGACCCCCACCGAUGGAACUGAGAUACGGUCCAUACACCUACGGGUGGCCGCAGCCGAGAAUAUUCGACAAUGGGCGAAAGCCUGAUCGAGCGACGCCGCGUGAUUGAUGAAGUCCUUCGGGACGUAAAAAUCUUUUGUAGACUAGAAAAUUAUUGAUCAGUCUAAGAAUAAGGGGUUGCUAAACUCGUGCCAGCAGCCGC